Dromaius novaehollandiae (emu) is the source of this 2465-nucleotide long non-coding RNA. RefSeq lists it as uncharacterized. The record is from RefSeq and is a predicted model, not a curated record. Lineage: Eukaryota; Metazoa; Chordata; Aves; Casuariiformes; Dromaiidae. The transcript has 2 exons.
GUGUACCUUAAUUCCUCACCUGUAAAAGGGAAACAACAAUGUUUCUUUGAUUACGGGAGUGAUGAGCAGUAAUAUACUAACGACACCGGGACAGUUACCACGCACACACCCGCAACAGCUAACUCUGCAAUAGAUCUUGCACUCUCAUCACUUAUUUGCAUUUGUAUUCAAUGAACUGUUAAAGGAAUCGGACUAUCAGUACCCAGAUUCUGAUGGGAAAUGCCUGGGGAAAAGCUCAAACCGGACCAGUGGUCCAGGUACCACUCAGCUUCGUGGGAUCCCUGUCCAAAGCUGGGCUUGAAUGUCGAUUGCACAGCUAAUCCCUAUUUAAUUUGUAAUAGCCUGAAACUAAACCUCACCGUGUUACUAGGCAUAGGAAUCUGGAUUCGGUUCCCCAUUUUGUAGCUUGGGCCUAGGACUAGAAAUUACUCAGCUGUCUGCUUCAAUCUACGCUGAAGCUGAAGAUUUAUUUCUACAGGAGGCAGGGAAACAUAUUAUGUUGCCAAACUACUUCCAGUCUUUUCCAGAAUUACAAGUCAGGGGAUGGUGGAUGAGACAGUAUCAGAAGCACAGAAAAAAAGAGACCCAAUGAAUCAUCUAAGAACUUGAAAGGAAAUGAGAUAACCAAGAUGCUGGAACAAAAUACCUGCUAUAGCUCAGAUGGCCGACUGGUGAGCGCCGCUGUAGGGUCUGUCAGGCGCCUGCUUAAAAUCGCUGGAAGGAGCCAGGUCUACAUAACUGGGUAGUGCAAAGCCAGAUGAAGUUACAGGAGACGUUCAAAUCCCUGGCACCCGAAACGCACGCCUUGCCUCUGUGGGUGAGUUAGCGCAACACAAGAGCAGCCCCAAGACUGCUCUCUGCAGCCCCACACGCAGCAGGGCUGGGCUGCUGGUACCCCCAGCCGCGUCCCUGCCAGCUGCCACGCAUCCCCGAGGUCCGGCAGGGAGAUUUCCAAACCGAGGGAGGUUAAAAGGGUAAUGGUCUGAUUUUUACUCCUUUGGCUGUCGGUACGUGUCACUCUGCCGAGGCUGGUGGCACUGCAGCAGCGGUGGCUCGGCGCGGGCGCUGCCAGGGAGCAGAGCUGCGGCAGGGUGCAAAGCCCUGCAGCCGCCCCAGCCAGAUCCAGGAGAGCGCCUCUGCCCGUCUCUGCCAUCCAGGGCGAGGCAGCACAGCGGGAGAGCUCGAGCAGGGUGGGAAGAGGUGGUAGAAUGAGGGAAAAAGGUGGAAAAAGGCGGGAAAAGACCUGGGAAGCAGAUGCUGAUGCAAAUGAGGAGGGCCAAUGAGCAUCCUUUGGCCUCAGACACGACCUAGAAUAUCCAGAAAAAUCGACUGCAUCUUACUGGUGUGAGUGCAACCAAAGUAAUGCCUUUAAGUUUAACUAAUGUGUAGACUAUGGGAUGUUUAAUCAAAGAAUUGGAAAGAAAAGGAAAAAUGGUGUACAAAACAUCACAGGACUAAGUUUAGCGGUACCAGAACAGCUUUGUAAAUGCUUUCUUGUAGUUUUAUGUUAUUCUGAAAUCUGCCUCAGUCACCACUGAGUAUUAUAGUCAUCAGUCUUCCCUCCACUAGCAGGAAAACAAAUGCCAUGUUGGAUCCUAGUGCCGUGAGGUUAACAGAUAACCUUCAUAUUUUUUGAGAAGUCUUUCAGCUUUUCUGCCGCUGAAGAUCCUCUUCUACAGCUUAAAGUUGAAAAAUUUUUGUGGCAGAUUUGGCAUUGCCUGUAAUAAUUUAUGAAUAUGAUGUGUUGACAUGUUUACUGUGUGCAUACAUUGAGCUACUUCAAUAGCUGGGCUGUCAGGAAGAGUACCCAGGAGAGAGAAGAUGGAUCCGGGCAUACAUUUUUGAGGAAACACUUGGGAAACAAUGCAAGAGCGAGUCACUGUGAUGUUUUGGCUGGGCCCCUGCUAGGCUCACUAGAGAGAUUUCCCUGGGAGAAAUGUGGGCGCCUGGAAAGAAAGGUUCAGAAGACCCCAGAGAAUUAAGAGAGAACCAUUUAAACAGAGGUUUUGAGAGCGAGAAUCCAGGAGGAGUCCAAAGAGCUCAGAUCCGCAGGGACAUCUGAUUUAGUUCAAGCUGGUAAGACUACUAGAUAAAGCAGAUGUGUGAUUUUUUUUUUUUUUAACCAAUAUGCUUUAUUUCAAUGAUUAGCUAAGCAGCUCUUUGGUUUUGAAACUGUUGUUCUGGGUCAUGCAGGAAGACUGAAGGUCUCCGCUCUCUUCCUCAGCACACGUGCAAGCUCGGCAAAGGCACCGGUUCAGUAGGCUGGAGCUUGCUGCAAGCAUGCAAGAAUCAGGUUAUUCCAUGCACAGAAAGGUAACAGCCCAAGGCCUCACAUAAGUAGAGGGUAACUCAGAAAGACCACAGAUGGCCGGAGAUACGGCAGUAACCAUAACAACACCAGCAUCUUUCUUAUAAGUCCUAGCACGUAAUUCUACUAAUGACUUUUAUUAAACAUUUAAGCCUUA